UUGCACAAUGGGGGAAACCCUGAUGCAGUAACGCCGCGUGCGGGACGAAGGCUUUCGGGUCGUAAACCGCUUUUCGGAGGGACGAGUGAGGACGGUACCUCUGGAAUCAGUCUCGGCUAACUACGUGCCAGCAGCCGCGGUAAAACGUAGGAGGCGAGCGUUAUCCGGAUUCACUGGGCGUAAAGCGCAUGUAGGCGGUUGUGCAAGUCGGACGUGAAAGCCCCUGGCUCAACUGGGGGAGGAGGUUCGAGACUGCGCGACUUGAGGGUAGCAGAGGAGAGUGGAACUCCCGGUGUAGCGGUGGAAUGCGUAGAGAUCGGGAAGAACACCAGUGGCGAAGGCGACUCUCUGGGCUACGACUGACGUUGAGAUGCGAAAGCGUGGGGAGCAAACGGGAUUAGAUACCCCGGUAGUCCACGCCCUAAACGAUGAGGGCUGGGUGUGGGUGGAUUAACCAUCCGUAGCCGAAGCGAACGCGUUAAGCCCUCCGCCUGGGGACUAUGAGCGCAAGCUUA
RNAcentral lists this ribosomal RNA (515 nucleotides) under uncultured bacterium. Its description in RNAcentral is "bacterial SSU rRNA". It matches the Rfam family "Bacterial small subunit ribosomal RNA", at positions 364 to 896 of the family's 1533-position model. The record is from RNAcentral.